GAUGAACGCUGGCGGCGUGCCUAAUACAUGCAAGUCGAGCGAACGGACGAGAAGCUUGCUUCCCUGAUGUUAGCGGCGGACGGGUGAGUAACACGUGGAUAACCUACCUAUAAGACUGGGAUAACUUCGGGAAACCGGAGCUAAUACCGGAUAAUAUUUUGAACCGCAUGGUUCAAAAGUGAAAGACGGUCUUGCUGUCACUUAUAGAUGGAUCCGCGCUGCAUUAGCUAGUUGGUAAGGUAACGGCUUACCAAGGCAACGAUGCAUAGCCGACCUGAGAGGGUGAUCGGCCACACUGGAACUGAGACACGGUCCAGACUCCUACGGGAGGCAGCAGUAGGGAAUCUUCCGCGAUGGGCGAAAGCCUGACAGAGCAACGCCGCGUGAGUGAUGAAGGUCUUCGGAUCGUAAAGCUCUGUAAUUAGGAAAGAACAAAUGUGUAAGUAACUGUGCACAUCUUGACGGUACCUAAUCAGAAAGCCACGGCUAACUACGUG
RNAcentral lists this ribosomal RNA (497 nucleotides) under uncultured bacterium. RNAcentral's name for it is "partial 16S ribosomal RNA". It matches the Rfam family "Bacterial small subunit ribosomal RNA", at positions 28 to 507 of the family's 1533-position model. The record is from RNAcentral.